This 2092-nucleotide long non-coding RNA is filed under the name Marmota monax (woodchuck). The record is from RNAcentral. Lineage: Eukaryota; Metazoa; Chordata; Mammalia; Rodentia; Sciuridae.
CUUAAGCCCAAAUUAACAACUGGAAUAUGAAUUGUUUCUAAGAGAUGUGUGUCCCAGUGGUAUAUUCUGUCACAUGAUCUAGAACUGUAUAAAUACACACCAGCCUCACUGGGAGCACUGCCUUCUUCCUCAUCUGCCUAAUCUCAUUCUCCUUUAUUGUAACUAAGAAUUUGCUGUAGCGAUUUUUGGCUCCUUCAUCCCCAAGAUCACUAUACUCUGUGCGUUUCUUGUGGACACUCAGGCUGAGGGGAAAGCACUUUCUUCUCUGCUCAUAGCCUUGAAACUAAAAUGAGAGGAAUUAAAAUAGCCUCCAAGUUGGGCUGGGGCUGUGGCUCAGUCCUUGCCCAGCAUGCACAAGGCCCCAGGUUUAAUCCCCAGCAAAGCAACCUUCGGAAACCUGACUGUGGCAUCUUAAAGUGGCAGCAUCAACACUUUACACUGUCCCAAAAGUUCUGUGCCAAGAACACAAGCCCACUGGUCUUAAAGCCGAACAUGUCUGGACACAAAACCAGGAUGCCCAUGAUGAAGCAGCUAAAGGCUGGGAAAUGCUCCCAAGUGUUUCUGUGACUUUUUUCAUGACUUUUCAGUCAUGAAACAACAUCUAUGAUACUGUGUAGGUGGAAGGAAAAGAAAACCAACCACCCCACAUCCGAUUAGUAACUGGCUCACUUCAUACUUGUCUUCUAGAAUUCUAGGUGUCCCCAAAGGCAUUUGGAACAUGAGAUGACUAAAUGGAGACCUAGAGAACACAGCAAAACUGACGGGACCUUGUGGGAGGGGAUGCUCUUCAAGUACAGUCCAAGGGUGCCAAAGGGACUCAGAUGCCAGGAGUGCUUUAACUUGACUGUGACUUACAGACAUUCUAGAAGGUUUCCAGUGCACACACAAAUCUGUCUUGAACCCCGGCCUGGCUGCCCUGUAGAGCACUCUUCUAUUUAUUACAUUUCCAUGAGGCCCUGGGUUCAGUCCCUGCACUGCAAAAAAGACAAACAAAACAGAACAACCACCUCUUUGUGAUUCAGCUCGUCUGUGCUAUUGCGUUACCAGCAACAGGAAAUGGACUAAGACAACAAGGUCGCUAUGAACUUUCAUUAUGGCAUCCUCCCAAAGGGCUCCUACAUUGUAACUAAUAUUUGCUAAUUAUUUUUAAUUAUUUAAAAUAUUUAAUCAGAAACGUUUUGGUAUCCAAGAGUAAUUAUAGAGAUUUUAAUCAGAAAUUAAGCUACCAAAAUAGCAAAGCUGAUUUGUUUAAGCACAGUUAUCAAAACAUUUUAGUAACUAACAUGGACAGGUAUGGAAUGCACUCAGAUGAGACUCAACCCUUAGCUCGCCUUUGACUACAUCAGGAUCGGUUGAUAACACUGAGUGGGAGUUUUGAGUACUCAGAUCUUGACACCACAUGGCCACCAAACUGACACGAUUUUUUAAAAAAUCUCUAAUUUUCCCUAAAAAAAAAAAAAAAAAAAAGGAAAUUUUAUGAUCACUAUGUACUGGAUGGAAAGAGUAUAAGUUAAGGCCUUGAGAAAUAAAACUUUGCCUGUUUUCCUGAGUGAAACAAACAUGGUUAAUCAUCUCUCUUAUCUGUAGUGAGAGCUUACUGAUCUUUCCCCCAGGAUUGUGUCAGUCCACAUAAAGAACACAAAAGGUCAAGUAGUGUUUCUAUGAGAAGAGACAGAAAAAGUACACAGAGCUUAAAGACCCUGUGUCUUUUUAAUGGAAAACUUAUCUCUAAGACACUUUGAUCGAAGUAAAUAUAAAGGGAUUUAACAUGAUUAUAAAGAAAAUACACUUUUGAGGCUGGGGUCACGGCUCAUUGGUAGAGCGCUCGCCUAGAACAUUCGAGGAACUGGGUUCGAUCCUCAGCACCACCUAAAAAUAAAUAAAUAAAGGUAUUGUGUCCAACUACAACUAAAAUAUAUAUAUUUUUUUAAACAAAAUACACUUUUGUAUGUUAUUGCUUUAUUCUAAUUAUAAGAGUUUAUAAACAGUUGUUGCACAAACUUUGGAAAAUGCAGAAAAGAAAAAGAAUCAUUCAUAUUUCUUCCUAGUUUUAUUUGUGUCCGUAUACUUUUAUAUAAAGAGUUGAACUAGG